UACGUAGGGGGCGAGCGUUGUCCGGAUUUAUUGGGCGUAAAGAGCUCGUAGGCGGUUCGGUAAGUCGACUGUGAAAUCUCCACGCUCAACGUGGAGGGGUCAUUCGAAACUGCCGUGACUUGAGUACGGUAGGGGAGUGUGGAAUUCCCGGUGUAGCGGUGAAAUGCGCAGAGAUCGGGAGGAACACCCGUAGCGAAGGCGGCACUCUGGGCCGAUACUGACGCUGAGGAGCGAAAGCGUGGGGAGCAAACAGG
Molecule: ribosomal RNA, 254 nt
Filed under: uncultured bacterium
Lineage: Bacteria
Description: partial 16S ribosomal RNA
Rfam family: Bacterial small subunit ribosomal RNA
Source: RNAcentral